GUGAGGAAUAUUGCGCAAUGGAGGCAACUCUGACGCAGCCAUGCCGCGUGCAGGAAGAAGGCGCUACGCGUUGUAAACUGCUUUUAACCGGGAAGAAACCCCAGGACGUGUCCUGGGUUGACGGUACCGGAGGAAUAAGCACCGGCUAACUUCGUGCCAGCAGCCGCGGUAAUACGAAGGGUGCAAGCGUUAUCCGGAUUCAUUGGGUUUAAAGGGUGCGUAGGCGGAGCGUUAAGUCAGUGGUGAAAUCCUGCAGCUUAACUGUAGACUUGCCAUUGAUACUGGCGCUCUUGAGUGCGCUUGAAGUGGGCGGAAUGUGCCGUGUAGCGGUGAAAUGCUUAGAUAUGGCACAGAACACCAAGUGCGAAGGCAGCUCACUAAGGCGAUACUGACGCUGAGGCACGAAAGCGUGGGGAUCGAACAGGAUUAGAAACCCCGGUAGUCC
This 445-nucleotide ribosomal RNA is filed under the name uncultured bacterium. RNAcentral describes it as "partial 16S ribosomal RNA". It matches the Rfam family "Bacterial small subunit ribosomal RNA", at positions 354 to 796 of the family's 1533-position model. The record is from RNAcentral.